ACACCUCACCCCCUCGGGUUUCCGAUCGGGUGGAUUUGGGUGCUGCCAGUUACAUGGCUCGCCUUAAAAGCAUUAGCGGUUGUUGACGUAAUAAGUUUCGUCUUGUCGACCGCUCCUAAUCUCCUUCGGGAUGUCUCUAGGGACACUUCAUG
This 152-nucleotide unclassified non-coding RNA is filed under the name Vishniacozyma dimennae. RNAcentral's name for it is "partial internal transcribed spacer 2". Lineage: Eukaryota; Fungi; Basidiomycota; Tremellomycetes; Tremellales; Bulleribasidiaceae. The record is from RNAcentral.